UGUUUGACAGAAGAUAGAGAGCACAGAUGAUGAUGUGCAAUUUUUGGAUUCUGCAUCUCACUCCUUUGUGCUCUCUAUGCUUCUGUCAUCA
Molecule: microRNA precursor, 91 nt
Filed under: Bruguiera gymnorhiza
Lineage: Eukaryota; Viridiplantae; Streptophyta; Magnoliopsida; Malpighiales; Rhizophoraceae
Also listed under: 1 other name
Description: miR156 stem-loop (bgy-MIR156)
Gene: bgy-MIR156
Source: miRBase by way of RNAcentral